This is a long non-coding RNA of Pan troglodytes (chimpanzee), 436 nucleotides long. NCBI's taxonomy places the organism in Eukaryota, Metazoa, Chordata, Mammalia, Primates, Hominidae. The record is from Ensembl.
AUUUUAAAUUUAUAAAUGUAAUGAAAAUCAGAUGACUUUGGAAUUAAGGAAUAUGUGAAGUAAAAAAUACAUGCUCUUUCUUGGGGAUAUGCUGCUUUUUCCCUUCCUAUAAUCUAAAUUCUUGAUGAGUAUGUAGUCACCCACGUCUUAACUUCUGUAGAACAGUGAGCUAGGGUCUUCCAUGCCAGAAGGGCAGAGAGAUCCUCAUCACAUCUGACCCCACCCUUCAUUGCCUCUCCUUCCCAGGUUGAAAUCCAGGGUGUCUACAUCCCACAGGAUUAUGGAGGGUGUAUGCAUUGUGCACUUGUCACUUAGAGACUCCUACGGUCUGAGAAUGUUAAUUUUCCUUCGUGUCGUCGUGGUAGAGACCCAGAGGUGGCAUUUCAAGUUCCGGGAGUUAUGCAUGAACUGGCUUUCUGGAAUUAAAGUGUUCUGA